This 478-nucleotide ribosomal RNA is filed under the name uncultured organism. Its description in RNAcentral is "partial 16S ribosomal RNA". It matches the Rfam family "Bacterial small subunit ribosomal RNA", at positions 330 to 799 of the family's 1533-position model. The record is from RNAcentral.
CGUACACUCCUGCGGGAGGCAGCAGUGGGGAAUUUUGGACAAUGGGCGAAAGCCUGAUCCAGCCAUGCCGCGUGCAGGAUGAAGGCCUUCGGGUUGUAAACUGCUUUUGUACGGAACGAAACGGCCUUUUCUAAUAAAGAGGGCUAAUGACGGUACCGUAAGAAUAAGCACCGGCUAACUACGUGCCAGCAGCCGCGGUAAUACGUAGGGUGCAAGCGUUAAUCGGAAUUACUGGGCGUAAAGCGUGCGCAGGCGGUUAUGUAAGACAGUUGUGAAAUCCCCGGGCUCAACCUGGGAACUGCAUCUGUGACUGCAUAGCUAGAGUACGGUAGAGGGGGAUGGAAUUCCGCGUGUAGCAGUGAAAUGCGUAGAUAUGCGGAGGAACACCGAUGGCGAAGGCAAUCCCCUGGACCUGUACUGACGCUCAUGCACGAAAGCGUGGGGAGCAAACAGGAUUAGAUACCCUAGUAGUCCCAUG